CUCUCUGGCUCAACUCUCGGCCGCGGUGUUUCCGUUUCUCUCCCUGGUUGUCGCCUGCUCUGCUCUUCUCAUCCUUCUCGCUCUGCUGCUCUGCGGAGUGACGAGGCUGAAUCUUCUCCCCACCCAGUUCGCGCUUUUCUUCUUUUUCUCGCGCCGCUCCAUUUCUCCAGUCCGGCUGCCGCCGCCACUGCUGCUCAGCUGGUGUCGGUGCCGCGCGUUUCCCCCACGUCGUCCCCGCAGCCUAUGGCCCAGGCCGCCUUGGGUAUUUCUGCUCAAGGUAACCACAUCCCUCUUUAAAAAUUCCGCCGAAAAAGAGAAGACGCUUUACCCGACUCUUUGGGCCGUUAUCUCACGUGAGUACCGGGCUUAGGGGCGCGGGAGGGUCGGGCGCCUGGGCUGGGCCACGCCGCCCUCGGUGUCCCCGCAGUGCCCCGCAGCCGGCGGCCUCGAACAUGGCGGCCG
Molecule: long non-coding RNA, 462 nt
Filed under: Rattus norvegicus (Norway rat)
Lineage: Eukaryota; Metazoa; Chordata; Mammalia; Rodentia; Muridae
Description: long non-coding RNA NONRATT026892
Source: RNAcentral